Molecule: long non-coding RNA, 942 nt
Filed under: Calidris pugnax (ruff)
Lineage: Eukaryota; Metazoa; Chordata; Aves; Charadriiformes; Scolopacidae
Description: lncRNA (ENSCPUG00000009909.1)
Source: RNAcentral
GAACACAAAGACGGGGGAGAGGCCUUCUCUAGGCCCCGCGGCCUGGCCGGCUGCGGCCGGGGGCUUGAUGGUGCGGGGGGCGUGUGUCCCUCAGGGCCGCUUGUUCUGGAUGAGAAGUGAGGAUGAGUACCUGGCUACGUUUUGUUCUCAGGAACCUCCUUCCUCCCUCUGGAGCUGACCUCUGGAUGCUCCCUGGUUUCACAGAUGAGCUCGGUCUGAGGGGUUUAUUCACAGAGAAUCAGGAGACAGUCUUCAAAAUGACCAGUGAACUGAAGAAGCUGGGCUGGGAGCAUCUGUAUCUUCCCAUUUGAAAACCUCGCCUGUUGCUUGCUCCUACCGAAACCUGGAAAUGCCGGGCCAGCAACGUGCAAGGCAGCCUGCACACCUCAACAGUCCUUCUGCUGGUCCUUACACCUACAACCAGCUCGAAAAGUUACUCAGCAGUGAAAAUCAAGGCAUUUCCCAAAUGCUUUCAGUGAGGGAGAAUACUGAUGUUGAACCUCAUCAGCCUGCUGCAAGCACAUUGGUAUUCAUGCAGCGACUUCAGAGCCACACUCCUGAGCAGGGUGAGACUAAAACAAGCAGACACUUCUCCCAGAUUUGUUUCUGCAGCAGCCCAACUAGGGACCUCAUCAGGAUGAGAGAACAGAGGAACAGCUGCCGCCGUCUCCUGAGGAGCCCCCCAGCCAGGAGCUGAGCAGCCUCAAAUCCCAGAGAGCUGCUGCUGGAUCUCCCAUAGCUUUGGGCUUCCCGUGGCAGAGCUGAUCCCAGCUGGGGCUGGGAGACACCAUCCUGGCAGCAGCAUCACCUCGAGCCAGCGAGGAACCAACCCUGCCCCAAAGUGACCCGCUUCCCUCUUGGCUUUUGGGCAAAAGUUUGUUUUUCGCUGGAAAAAUUCCUCAUGAGCCUUUCUUGACACAUUUGCGUGUUACACAGUCGCUC